Molecule: ribosomal RNA, 254 nt
Filed under: uncultured bacterium
Lineage: Bacteria
Description: partial 16S ribosomal RNA
Rfam family: Bacterial small subunit ribosomal RNA
Source: RNAcentral
UACGUAGGGUGCGAGCGUUGUCCGGAAUUACUGGGCGUAAAGAGCUCGUAGGUGGUUUGUCGCGUUGUCCGUGAAAACUCACAACUCAAUUGUGGGCGUGCGGGCGAUACGGGCAGACUGGAGUACUGCAGGGGAGACUGGAAUUCCUGGUGUAGCGGUGGAAUGCGCAGAUAUCAGGAGGAACACCGGUGGCGAAGGCGGGUCUCUGGGCAGUUGACUGACGCUGAGGAGCGAAAGCGUGGGGAGCGAACAGG